Molecule: ribosomal RNA, 509 nt
Filed under: uncultured bacterium
Lineage: Bacteria
Description: partial 16S ribosomal RNA
Rfam family: Bacterial small subunit ribosomal RNA
Source: RNAcentral
UGAGUAAUGCCUAGGAAUCUGCCUGGUAGUGGGGGACAACGUUUCGAAAGGAACGCUAAUACCGCAUACGUCCUACGGGAGAAAGCAGGGGACCUUCGGGCCUUGCGCUAUCAGAUGAGCCUAGGUCGGAUUACCUAGUGGGGGGGGGGUAGGGGCUCACCAGGGCGACGAUCCGUAACUGGUCUGAGAGGAUGACCAGUCACACUGGAACUGAGAAAAGGGGCCAAAACUCCAGGGGGGGGCAGCAGUGGGGAAUAUUGGACAAUGGGCGAAAGCCUGAUCCAGCCAUGCCGCGUGUGUGAAGAAGGUCUUCGGAUUGUAAAGCACUUUAAGUUGGGAGGAAGGGCAGUAAGUUAAUACCUUGCUGUUUUGACGUUACCGACAGAAUAAAGCACCGGCUAACUCUGUGCCAGCAGCCGCGGUAAUACAGAGGGUGCAAGCGUUAAUCGGAAUUACUGGGCGUAAAGCGCGCGUAGGUGGUUUGUUAAGUUGGAUGUGAAAGCCCCGGG